GCGGCCGUAGUGUAGUGGCCCAGCACUUGAGCCUUCCAAGCUCAUAACCCGGGUUCAAAUCCCGGCGGCCGCA
RNAcentral lists this transfer RNA (73 nucleotides) under archaeon. RNAcentral describes it as "tRNA-Gly". It matches the Rfam family "tRNA". From Rfam's summary of the family: Transfer RNA (tRNA) molecules are approximately 80 nucleotides in length. Their secondary structure includes four short double-helical elements and three loops (D, anti-codon, and T loops). Further hydrogen bonds mediate the characteristic L-shaped molecular structure. tRNAs have two regions of fundamental functional importance: the anti-codon, which is responsible for specific mRNA codon recognition, and the 3' end, to which the tRNAs corresponding amino acid is attached (by aminoacyl-tRNA synthetases). tRNAs cope with the degeneracy of the genetic code in two manners: having more than one tRNA (with a specific anti-codon) for a particular amino acid; and 'wobble' base-pairing, i.e. permitting non-standard base-pairing at the 3rd anti-codon position. The record is from RNAcentral.